UAAAAGGAGGGAGGGGACUGUUUUAAUUUUACAUUUAAUUAGGUGCAGCUCGCGGCGGGAGAGGAGACUUCACACUUUCCACUUUCUCCAAGGAGUCAGAAAACCGCAUCGAUUAAUUACAUCUACCUACACAUUUUCUACAGUAACCCGAAGCAUUUAGUAUUAAAAUGUAUUUUCGGUUUAGACCUGCGGCAGAGGCUAUACUAUACUCGUAAAUCUCUUUUUUAGGUCUUUUGUGUAUUAAAACGUCCAAUGGCUACAAAACUGGUUUAGACAAUUGUACGCCUUACAGAGCUAAUUAAUCACGUAACCGUUGCUCUAUUGUAAUAUUAUUACUAUGUGU
Cinara cedri is the source of this 343-nucleotide non-coding RNA. Lineage: Eukaryota; Metazoa; Arthropoda; Insecta; Hemiptera; Aphididae. The record is from the annotation of a GenBank genome assembly.